RNAcentral lists this ribosomal RNA (433 nucleotides) under uncultured bacterium. RNAcentral describes it as "partial 16S ribosomal RNA". It matches the Rfam family "Bacterial small subunit ribosomal RNA", at positions 29 to 507 of the family's 1533-position model. The record is from RNAcentral.
AACGAACGCUGGCGGCAUGCCUAACACAUGCAAGUCGAACGAGACCUUCGGGUCUAGUGGCGCACGUGUGCGUAACGCGUGGGAACCUGCCCUUAGGUUCUGAAUAACUCCCCGAAAGGGGUGCCAAUACCGGAUAAUGUCUUCGGACCAAAGAUUUAUCGCCUUUGGAUGGGCCCGCGUUGGAUUAGCUAGUUGGUAGGGUAAAAGCCUACCAAGGCGACGAUCCAUAGCUGGUCUGAGAGGAUGAUCAGCCACACUGGGACUGAGACACGGCCCAGACUCCUACGGGAGGCAGCAGUGGGGAAUAUUGGACAAUGGGCGAAAGCCUGAUCCAGCAAUGCCGCGUGAGUGAUGAAGGCCUUAGGGUUGUAAAGCUCUUUUACCCGGGAUGAUAAUGACAGUACCGGGAGAAUAAGCUCCGGCUAACUCCGUG